RNAcentral lists this ribosomal RNA (492 nucleotides) under uncultured bacterium. RNAcentral's name for it is "partial 16S ribosomal RNA". It matches the Rfam family "Bacterial small subunit ribosomal RNA", at positions 29 to 507 of the family's 1533-position model. The record is from RNAcentral.
AGUGAACGCUGGCGGUAGGCCUAACACAUGCAAGUCGAACGGCAGCACAGUAAGAGCUUGCUCUUACGGGUGGCGAGUGGCGGACGGGUGAGGAAUACAUCGGAAUCUACUUUUUCGUGGGGGAUCACGUAGGGAAACUUACGCUAAUACCGCAUACGACCUACGGGUGAAAGCAUGGGAUCUUCGCACCUUGCGCGAUUGAAUGAGCCGCUGUCGGAUUAGCUAGUUGGCGGGGUAAAGGCCCACCAAGGCGACGAUCCGUAGCUGGUCUGAGAGGAUGAUCAGCCACACUGGAACUGAGACACGGUCCAGACUCCUACGGGAGGCAGCAGUGGGGAAUAUUGGACAAUGGGCGCAAGCCUGAUCCAGCCAUACCGCGUGGGUGAAGAAGGCCUUCGGGUUGUAAAGCCCUUUUGUUGGGAAAGAAAAGCAGCAGGUUAAUACCCCGCUGUUCUGACGGUACCCAAAGAAUAAGCACCGGCUAACUUCGUG